GACGAACGCUGGCGGCGUGCCUAAUACAUGCAAGUCGAGCGAGCGGAACUAACAGAUUUACUUCGGUAAUGACGUUAGGAAAUCGAGCGGCGGAUGGGUGAGUAACACGUGGGGAACCUGCCCCAUAGUCUGGGAUACCACUUGGAAACAGGUGCUAAUACCGGAUAAGAAAGCAGAUCGCAUGAUCAGCUUUUAAAAGUCGGCGUAAGCUGUCGCUAUGGGAUGGCCCCGCGGUGCAUUAGCUAGUUGGUAAGGUAAAGGCUUACCAAGGCGAUGAUGCAUAGCCGAGUUGAGAGACUGAUCGGCCACAUUGGGACUGAGACACGGCCCAAACUCCUACGGGAGGAAGCAGUAGGGAAUCUUCCACAAUGGACGCAAGUCUGAUGGAGCAACGCCGAGUGAGUGAAGAAGGUUUUCGGAUCGUAAAGCUCUGUUGUUGGUGAAGAAGGAUAGAGGUAGUAACUGGACUUUAUUUGACGGUAAUCAACCAGAAAGUCACGGCUAACUACGUG
RNAcentral lists this ribosomal RNA (512 nucleotides) under uncultured bacterium. RNAcentral describes it as "partial 16S ribosomal RNA". It matches the Rfam family "Bacterial small subunit ribosomal RNA", at positions 28 to 507 of the family's 1533-position model. The record is from RNAcentral.